Molecule: long non-coding RNA, 374 nt
Organism: Nannospalax galili (Upper Galilee mountains blind mole rat)
Lineage: Eukaryota; Metazoa; Chordata; Mammalia; Rodentia; Spalacidae
Exons: 4
Source: RefSeq, a predicted model, not a curated record
CUUAGGUGCAUCCCUGCCUUGGAUCCAUUAACAAAGCCUGCCAAUGAAGAUCAGGAAAUUGGUACAGAAAUUAUUAAAAGAGAACUGAAAAUUCCUGCAGUGACUAUUGCUAAGAAUGCAGGUAUUGAAGGCUCUUUGAUAGUUGAGAAAAUUAUGCAAAUUUCCUCAGAAGUUGGUUAUGAUGCUAUGCUUGGAGAUUUUGUGAACAUGGUAGAAAAGGGAAUCAUUGAUCCAACAAAGGUUGCAAGGACUGCUUUACUGGAUGCUGCUGGGGUGGCCUCUCUAUUAAGUACAGCAGAAGAUGUCAUCACAGAAAUUCCUAAAGAAGACCCUGGAAUGGGUGCCAUGGGUGGAAUGAGAGGUGGUAUGGGAGG